GUGAGGAAUUUUCCGCAAUGGGCGAAAGCCUGACGGAGCAAUGCCGCGUGAAGGAUGAAGGCCUAUGGGUUGUAAACUUCUUUUCUCAGAAAAGAAUUAUGACGGUAUCUGAGGAAUAAGCAUCGGCUAACUCUGUGCCAGCAGCCGCGGUAAGACAGAGGAUGCAAGCGUUAUCCGGAAUGAUUGGGCGUAAAGCGUCUGUAGGUUGUUUAAAAAGUAUUCUGUCAAAGAUUAGGGCUUAACCCUAGAUAGGCAGAAUAAACUUUUAAGCUAGGGUUUGGUAGAUGCAGAGGGAAUUCCCGGUGGAGCGGUGAAAUGCGUAGAUAUCGGGAGGAACACCAAAGGCGAAGGCACUCUGCUGGGCCAAUUCUAACACUGAGAGACGAAAGCGAGGGGAGCAAAUGGGAUUAGAAACCCGAGUAGUCC
This 426-nucleotide ribosomal RNA is filed under the name uncultured bacterium. RNAcentral's name for it is "bacterial SSU rRNA". It matches the Rfam family "Bacterial small subunit ribosomal RNA", at positions 354 to 796 of the family's 1533-position model. The record is from RNAcentral.